UAAAUAGCAUUGCAGCUCACGGAAGUGUGUGCUUGUGAUGGCACAGCUGAACAUUGAUCGCUAAACGUAGAGAUGUUGGUGGCAGAUCUGCUCAGUGGGUGUUGUCACGUGGUCGCUUCACGUAGCUUGUGUUGGAUUCCCGAUUGCGCGUACUUGUUCGUGGACUUGUGCUUUUCACAGCCCUCGGAUACGCACGCCUGCACGGUUGAGUCUUCACGUCGCUCCUCGAACUACCGCGAUUUCCAAAUUGGGGGGUAAUCGAAUAGGUCAGACGAGAUGCAACCUGGGUGAACAGUAGAUUCCAAUUCCAAGCUUCGUCGGCUUCCUUGACUAAAUUUUCGUUAUACAAUUUUUCGCACUAACUUGCUGCCUUUCAAAUCGUCACCCCAACCAGUUUUUCUGGCACGAGGUGGCGCCACAGGUGGUUGUGUCGGAUAUCCUGAAGAAAAUGACAUUGGACUAUUUAACAAAUCGUCGUCAGAUUUUGAGUCUUCUUGCAUAAAAUUUUGACCUGCUCUUCUGCCGAGUCUAGGUAUAAGCUGUAAAUAUUAGCGCAGUUAUGAAAAAAUAUUAAAUUUAAUAUUUUAUCUAAAUUAAUUUUACGAUAAUGUUGACACAGAUUUGUCGAGAAAUAUCAGCGACUAUAUGUAUAAAUUUUUAUUAAUUAUGACGAUUAUUUAAAUGAAUGUACCUUCUUCGAUGUAAUUUCUAAAUCUGUAGCCCAAUCCAUCGUUGUUUAAAAUAUGAUUUAUGUAUCUUAAAAUAAAAGGAUUAUUGAGACAGUA
RNAcentral lists this long non-coding RNA (785 nucleotides) under Polistes fuscatus (common paper wasp). RNAcentral describes it as "uncharacterized LOC122516864". The stretch from base 21 to 356 matches the Rfam family "Arthropod 7SK RNA". The record is from RNAcentral. Lineage: Eukaryota; Metazoa; Arthropoda; Insecta; Hymenoptera; Vespidae.